UACGUAGGUGCGAGCGUUGUCCGGAAUUACUGGGCGUAAAGAGCUCGUAGGUGGUUUGUCGCGUCGUCUGUGAAAUUCCGGGGCUUAACUUCGGGCGUGCAGGCGAUACGGGCAAUACUUGAGUGCUGUAGGGGAGACUGGAAUUCCUGGUGUAGCGGUGAAAUGCGCAGAUAUCAGGAGGAACACCAAUGGCGAAGGCAGGUCUCUGGGCAGUUACUGACGCUGAGGAGCGAAAGCAUGGGUAGCGAACAGGAUUAGA
This 259-nucleotide ribosomal RNA is filed under the name uncultured prokaryote. RNAcentral's name for it is "partial 16S ribosomal RNA". It matches the Rfam family "Bacterial small subunit ribosomal RNA", at positions 524 to 782 of the family's 1533-position model. The record is from RNAcentral.